RNAcentral lists this ribosomal RNA (353 nucleotides) under uncultured bacterium. RNAcentral describes it as "bacterial SSU rRNA". It matches the Rfam family "Bacterial small subunit ribosomal RNA", at positions 8 to 350 of the family's 1533-position model. The record is from RNAcentral.
AGAGUUUGAUCAUGGCUCAGGAUGAACGCUAGCUACAGGCUUAACACAUGCAAGUCGAGGGGAAACGACAUCGAAAGCUUGCUUUUGAUGGGCGUCGACCGGCGCACGGGUGAGUAACGCGUAUCCAACCUGCCCACCACUUGGGGAUAACCUUGCGAAAGUAAGACUAAUACCCAAUGAUAUCUCUAGAAGGCAUCUGAAAGAGAUUAAAGAUUUAUCGGUGAUGGAUGGGGAUGCGUCUGAUUAGCUUGUUGGCGGGGUAACGGCCACCAAAGCAACGAUCAGUAGGGGUUCUGAGAGGAAGGUCCCCCANAUUGGAACUGAGACACGGUCCAAAACUCCUACGGGAGGCA